RNAcentral lists this non-coding RNA (109 nucleotides) under Leclercia adecarboxylata. RNAcentral's name for it is "TPP sequence". It matches the Rfam family "TPP riboswitch aptamer (THI element)". From Rfam's summary of the family: Vitamin B(1) in its active form thiamin pyrophosphate (TPP) is an essential coenzyme that is synthesised by coupling of pyrimidine and thiazole moieties in bacteria. Lineage: Bacteria; Pseudomonadati; Pseudomonadota; Gammaproteobacteria; Enterobacterales; Enterobacteriaceae. The record is from RNAcentral.
CUAUUCUUGUCGGAGUGCCCAGUGCGAAAGCCGGGCUGAGACCGUUAAUUCGGGAUCCGCGGAACCUGAUCAGGUUAAGACCUGCGAAGGGAACAAGAGUCAAUUUAUU